Podarcis lilfordi (Lilford's wall lizard) is the source of this 86-nucleotide non-coding RNA. The record is from the annotation of a GenBank genome assembly. NCBI's taxonomy places the organism in Eukaryota, Metazoa, Chordata, Lepidosauria, Squamata, Lacertidae.
AGCUGUUUUGGGACUACAGUUCCCAUCAUCCCUGACCACUGGUCCUGUUAGCUAGGUGUGAUGGGAGUUGUAGUCCCAGAGCAGCU